RNAcentral lists this long non-coding RNA (1127 nucleotides) under Ananas comosus (pineapple). RNAcentral describes it as "long non-coding RNA (ACOM_LNC026954)". Lineage: Eukaryota; Viridiplantae; Streptophyta; Magnoliopsida; Poales; Bromeliaceae. The record is from RNAcentral.
AUUGAAUUGGAAAAAGUUAUUUUUCUAAAAGGGACUUUUAUAAAAGUGAGUUUUGAGUUCGAUUGUUUAAUUGACUAUAAAGCAAAAAAUAAAAAAUUAUAGUCAUAUAGUUUAGAUUGUUUAAUUUUUGGUUAUAUAUAAAGAAGUGAAAAUAGAAACAUACGAUUUAUGCUUAAAUUUAAAUUAAACAUAAGUCAUUUAAAUUUAAAUUUAAUAAAAUAUUUUUAAAAUUUAAACUUAUAUUUGAAUUUAAAAAUUAAUUUUUUAAUUUUAAAUCUUACAUCCAAGUUAAAUUCUAAUUAAAAUUUAAAACAUAAAAUUAAAUUUAUAAUUUGAAUUUAAAGUUUAAGUGAUAAUCAAAACUGAAAUUAAAUUCUAAAACUAAAUUUCAACUUAAAAAUUAAAUCUGAAUUCUAUAUUUGGCCGUUAAAUCCAGCUGCAAAUACUAUUCAAUUUUUAGCUGUUACAUCUACACUUUUGAUUAUUUCUAUCAUUGGAUCAAUAUAUACUAUUCCACUAAUUACCACUAAACUCUACAGGAGACCACUAAGCGCCCGUUUGGCCUAGAUUUUAGAAAGUGAUUUCUGAAAAAAUGAUUUUGGUUUGGAGAAGUAAUUUUGAUUAAAAGCUGUAGAGCGUUUGACAAGUUUAAAUAAAAGCAAUUUUUCUGAAGUGAUUUUGUAAAGCUGUUUGGCAAAUUUUUUUUUGAUGUUUGCAUAAAUUAAUAUUUUUAUUAAAAUUUAUUUUAAAAUAAUUAAAAUAUAAUUUAAAUUUGAAUUAAAAUUAAAAUUUUAAAAUUUUAAAAUUAUACAAAAUUUAAAAUUUAAUAUUUUGAUUUAAAAAAUAAUUUUAAAAUUUUAAAAUAUAAAAUAUAAAAUUUGAAUUUUCAAAUCUAAAUUUAAAUUUUAAAUUUCAAAGGUUAAAUUUAAAAUUUAAAAUUUAAAAUAAUUUUAAAUUUUAAAUUUUAAAAUUUAAAAUUUGAAUAUUUAAAGUAUAAAAUUUAAAAUUUGAAUAUUUGAAAUAUAAAAUUUAAAAUUUGAAUAUUUGAAAUAUAAAAUUUAAAUUUAAAUUUAAAAUUUAAAAUUUUAAUUUUAAAUUUUAGAUUUACUCGUACUGUGGGGGACUCA